RNAcentral lists this ribosomal RNA (1044 nucleotides) under Triticum aestivum (bread wheat). RNAcentral's name for it is "partial small subunit ribosomal RNA". Lineage: Eukaryota; Viridiplantae; Streptophyta; Magnoliopsida; Poales; Poaceae. The record is from RNAcentral.
AUGGCCGAAAUUGUCAACAAGGAGUUUCCUGAGUUGGCCCAGACAGGGCUGAACUACCUGUCAUGGUCCUCGAACUGCGAGAUCUUUCUCCAGGGCAAAACCCUCCUGAGGGCGAUCGGUAAGGGGGCCCAGCUGGCCGUCACUGAUCCCAAGUUCGAAACUGAGAAUGCGCAGGCUCUGCACUUUCUCCGUCAUCACCUAUCACCUACUCUAAAAGAUGAGUAUAUGGCUGAGCGCAGUGCUUCUGGCCUUUGGACCGCUCUUAAGCAGCGGUUUGAGCGGCUGAAGUACACUGUGAAGCCACGUGCAGAGGCAAAGUGGAUCCGUCUAAGGUUUGCGGACUUCAAGACGAAGAUUGAGAAAACCCUAUCCACUUUCCACCCCGACGCGGUCCAGUCCUCACGGAACUACCGCCAGGGGAACUACACGAGGUAUUCAGAGUUGAUUGACGUCCUCAAGGUGGCGGAGGCGCAGGACGAGGUUCUCAAAAAGAACUUUGUCGCGCAACCACUUGGGAGUUCUCGCCAGGAGGUGAACGCUCUCAAAGUCCGCAAGCCUCAACAGAACAAGAGGGGCCGAAAGGCGGAUAAGCAGAACAAGCCGGGCAAGGGAGGGCAAAGGCCUCAGGACUGCUUCCGUUGUGGCUCGGUGGAGCAUUUCUCCCGCCAGUGCCGCGCACCACAGGAGGUCGUUGAUGCAUAUAAGGAUCGAAAGGCGCGUGAGACGCACCUCACCUUGGUUCAGGAGGGAGCACCACCGGCGCCCAUGGCGGCACCCGUGAUGAUCGCUACUCCCCCUGCUGCGCCCAUAGAGGCGACCCCAGUAGUUCCCAUCGCGGAAGCUUUGGCGGUCUCUACCGACGGCCACGUCGCCAUGGAGGUUGACCACAUGGUCGCCUCGGCGGCGCCGCCACUAGACAUUGAUGCUGCCUCCAAGAUGAUUUCUAAGGAGGAUCAGCUCACUAGUAUGGAGAUUGCGGCGGAAGUGAAUGGCUUCUUCACCGAGUCCACUUAUCAUACCUCUUUGGUUAUCAUGAUUCCGUGA